GGGCAACCUGGUUUGUAAAAGAAAGAAGAAACCACCCCUAAUUUGCUUCUCAUGAAAGCACUUCUAGAAACUGCAGGUGACAGCCACAUUUUACCUGCUACCUCGCCUUCAUUCUCUCACACAGGAAGAACGGGCUAUUCUAAGAUGGCAUCCGCUGUCACAAAUUGUGCUGGAUCAAUCAAUCAACCUCUGAGGAAUGAUUUAGAAGGAUUGGGUCCAGCAUCACUUUCGCUGUGCGUGUGUGCCAGUAUCCAUACUCAGCAGAGUUACAUCUCAACGCAACUCCUUCCUUGGGAGUGUCUUCAGGGUUGAAGAUAUUCUGCUAAGGAGUAGCAUUUGUGUUCUGAGUUGCAAACCACCCUGUGAUCUUUUGACAAAGGAGUUCUGAGCCAAUUCUGAUGCGGUUGUGGCAUCUAUCCAGCUGUCAGCACAAUAAGGAUGGUGUCAGCCUUUGCACUGAGCUUCCUUUGCCACUUUGGUUCAUGACCUGAGUGUUACUUAAACUUGAGAAGUGAAGCUGUUACCAGGCUCUGUAAGUGCUUUGCGGCUCCUGUUGUGAAAAGCAAUAUAAAAUAUAUGAAUAAAUAAAUGUUGUACUUUCCACCCGCCACAAAUAUCUACAAUUCACUGUCAUCAGCUGAAGUCAUUUGGGUAAGUUUUCCAUAUGAAGAUCACCACCAUCCUUCUUGGACUUGUUAAAGUACAGUAAUUAUUACUGUUUUUGAAUUGGCAUAGGCAAAUUUUAUGCAAAUCUCUGCCAACUUUUUUUCUGCUGACCUGUUAAGUGGGCACCCUGUAUGCAAUCAUACCCAUGUCUACUCGGAAGUAAGAUAGAGUAGAUCAGGCCUUGCUCCCCUGGUACUGGUCCAUGUGCAUAGUAAUGCAGCUGGAAUAACACUGCAAUGAAAUGCUCUGAUGCCAAUUUUUGUUAAAUGUAUGCUUUUUUUAAAAAAAAGUUAGCUUGUAAGAUAUAUAUUUUCUUCUAUUUCUUAGGCAUAUAAUCAACUCCCUCUCUAUUUAGAGCAUCCAGUUAUAAAAUGCUCUUAUUUUAGUAUUUUAGAUUUCUUUUCCAGGUGUUCUGUUUUAUUGACGCAACUUUCAGCCAUAGAACAGGGCCUUGGAUCCAGAGGAUCUUGUGUGCAUGUCAGGGACUGAUCAGAGGAGACCACAUCCCCAGCCUGACCCUUCUGGAGAAGAAGAAGACGACAGUUCAGAAUUACAACAGGGGUUUGAGGGAGGUCACAGCUCAGAGGCAGAAGAGGGAAAAGCGGGGAAAUAAUGGGAGAAGAGGAAUCACUAGGAGUGCAACAGCCGACAGACACAGUGUCUUUAGAAAGCAUUCCAGACCCCCCUCCUCCCAGAACCUGGAGAGCCUUGAAAGUAGUAGAGCAUAGAGCUCAGAAGCCAAGGGCCCUCAGUGUCGCCCGUAGGGGAGAUGAUGACAAAUGAAGAAGUGGGAGAAAAAGGGGUUGGAGAGUCACCCGGGACAACACCGUUAUCCCAAGAGGCUGAGUUCCAAGCCUCUCUCUGUAAAUAUUGAAUGAAAAGCAGAUGGAAAGAACUUUUCCUUGUAUUGUAUGUUCCCGGCACCCAGCCGUGGGAGUUGCUUACUGUCGCCUGACAAUGCAUGUGCAAAGUGCUGUUGGCCAGUUUUACCACAUGAGGUCCUGUUCUAGAGGGCCUUGAAUCUUUGGGGGAAGACUUUCCAUGGGGCUGCCGCUAGAAGUUAAAAUCUGAAAAGCUUCCAUAUACCAGCAGAAGUAACCUUGUCUUUUUCUGGAACUAAAUCAGCAUUUCCAGCUCUGAGAUUUUUAGAAAACAACAGCUACGAAGCAGCGAGGCAUACAGCAACAUAUAUGCCACCUUUGGGAAGAGCUGACCUACAUCAGAGGGAGAUCUUUCAUCUGAGCCGUAAAGCUGCUAAGCCGCAUUCUGUUCUAAGACGCACAUUUAAUAGUCUUGGCAGUGACCUUGCCGCAGGACAGUGGCUAGCGCUGAUAUUUUCUCACUGCCAUCCUCAAAAAGCACAAUUGCCUUUGCUUAGUUUGCUUUUGUUAGGGCAAAUUGCAGAUCCACCCCACUAGGCUGCCAUAAAAUAGGACACUUUCCCCUGCAUAUGGUGUCAUUGUGCAAAUUGUUCGGUGCCAAGUCGGUUUGCUUAUUUAGUUUUAAAUUUAUAUCCCACCCUUUCUCAAAAGACCACAGGGUGGUUUGCAACACAGAACGCAAAUGCCACUAUAUAGCAUCAUAUCUAUAUAACAUGGAAACCAUGCACUGGAGAAGGUGAAAUUCCCAUAUAAAGUAACAAGCUUUCUGCUGUGGAAAGGCUAUGUAAGUAAAGUGGUUUGUAUAUAUAUAUCCCUUUCAAGGUUGAAACAGUGAUACGUUUGUGUCAUCUCCUUCGUACAGCGCUUUUUCCGGCGUAUGAGCUGACUCCUCAAGAACUUUGUUCUGGGCACAAUCCAAUCAUUGGUCAGAUCAUCACAGUGACUUCAACCUCCAAAUCCAGUCCUCUACUGAAUGGCACACUGUUCCCGUUGAAAACUAGAUUGCUUGCCUUUCAAGGAAGCCAAAGUGUAAAUGGGA
This is a non-coding RNA of Podarcis muralis (Common wall lizard), 2586 nucleotides long. Lineage: Eukaryota; Metazoa; Chordata; Lepidosauria; Squamata; Lacertidae. The record is from RefSeq and is a predicted model, not a curated record.